This 138-nucleotide ribosomal RNA is filed under the name uncultured eukaryote. RNAcentral describes it as "partial 18S ribosomal RNA". It matches the Rfam family "Eukaryotic small subunit ribosomal RNA", at positions 1299 to 1458 of the family's 1831-position model. The record is from RNAcentral.
UGGUGGAGUGAUUUGUCUGGUUAAUUCCGAUAACGAACGAGACUCUGUCCUGCUAAAUAGUUGUGUCAGCAUUUUUCUGACUCAAAUUCUUCUUAGAGGGACUGGCGGCGUCUAGCCGCACGAGAUUGAGCGAUAACA